GCCCCAAAGCCGCAAAAUGGCGGACACAAUGAGCCGGAAUUGCCGCCGCCUUCUUCCCGCCGCCUGAGCCCGGAAUCCGCCCGAGGGCAAAGUCGCUUCGGUCCUUCGCCGCCUCGGCUUUCUUCUCCCGCCUUUCCCGUCCCUACCCCACCCCCACCCCCACCCCGCCUCAGGCUAGCCCUCCCCGACUCCGCUUCCCCUCCCCUUGGCCGGCGCGCAGGCCCCGCCGGUUCCCUUUCCUCGUAACCCGAGGCGGCAUGAAGCUGACGGACAACGUGCUGCGGAGCUUCCGCGUGGCCAAAGUCUUCCGCGAGAACUCGGACAAGAUCAACUGCUUCGAUUUCAGCCCUAAUGGCGAGACGGUCAUCUCCAGCAGCGACGACGACUCCAUCGUGCUCUACGACUGCCAGGAGGGAAAGCCCAAGAGAACACUUUAUAGUAAAAAAUAUGGAGUUGAUCUCAUCAGAUACACUCAUGCUGCCAACACGGUUGUAUACAGUUCCAAUAAAAUAGAUGAUACUAUCAGAUACCUUUCUCUUCAUGACAAUAAAUACAUUAGAUAUUUUCCAGGACAUAGCAAGAGAGUUGUUGCUUUAUCUAUGUCUCCAGUGGAUGAUACCUUUAUAUCUGGCUCACUUGAUAAGACUAUCAGACUUUGGGAUCUUCGGUCACCAAAUUGUCAGGGUCUGAUGCAUCCACAAGGAAAACCUGUAUGCUCAUUUGAUCCAGAGGGGCUGAUUUUUGCAGCUGGGGUCAAUUCCGAAAUGGUGAAACUUUAUGAUCUUCGCUCCUUUGAUAAGGGUCCAUUUGCUACCUUUAAGAUGCAAUAUGACCGAACCUGUGAAUGGACUGGCCUGAAAUUCAGCAAUGAUGGAAAACUUGUUCUUAUUUCAACUAAUGGAGGGAUCAUACGGCUCAUUGAUGCCUUUAAAGGAGCGGUUCUUCAUACUUUUACAGGAUAUAAUAAUAGCAAAGCUGUCACAUUGGAAGCUUCAUUCACUCCAGAUUCUCAGUUUAUAAUGAUUGGAUCAGAGGAUGGGAAGAUUCAUGUCUGGAACGGAGAGACUGGAAUGAAGGUAGCAGUACUUGAUGGGAAACACACAGGACCAAUUACCUGUUUGCAAUUCAACCCCAAGUUUAUGACAUUUGCCAGCGCAUGCUCUAAUAUGUCUGUACACUCUUUGGCAUGAGGCAUCUAAGAGACAAGAUAGUAAUCAUCAAAUAUCUGAAAUAAUGCUGAAGAAGGAAUGGGUUUACUCUAUAUUGACCCAGAAGGAAGGACCAAAAUCAACAGGUUAAAACUAAAAGAACUGUGGGCCUUUUGGUUGCCAACUAUAGAUGACUAAUCUGAAUUCAUCACUUCCAGUGGACAGUUUCCAUACUGUAUUGAAAGCAAUGCAGUAUUUUUAAAGACAACAGUGAAAGUAUUGGAAUUGGGUCAGUUGGAGAUGAAUAUUCCCACCAAGCACAUUCUGCAUGUAUCUCCUUUUGUCAAGCUCUUUCCUGCAUCUCCCACAAAGGAUUUCUUCAUGUGAUUCUACAAUUCCUGCUCUGAACAUCUCUUCCAACAUCAAAUUGAAGCAGAACUAUUACAGCUGAAAUCAACUAGCAGCUUUGCUUUGGAGUACAUUCGGAAAGAAUUUUGCCAGCUCUUUGUCUUU
Molecule: RNA transcript, 1661 nt
Organism: Ahaetulla prasina
Lineage: Eukaryota; Metazoa; Chordata; Lepidosauria; Squamata; Colubridae
Gene: WDR82
Gene name: WD repeat domain 82
Exons: 10
Source: RefSeq, a predicted model, not a curated record